Molecule: ribosomal RNA, 448 nt
Filed under: uncultured Alphaproteobacteria bacterium
Lineage: Bacteria; Pseudomonadati; Pseudomonadota; Alphaproteobacteria
Description: bacterial SSU rRNA
Rfam family: Bacterial small subunit ribosomal RNA
Source: RNAcentral
CGCGGCCGCAGAGUUUGAUCAUGGCUCAGAACGAACGCUCGCGGCAUGCCUAACACAUGCAAGUCGAACGCGGGGCUUCGGCCCUGAGUGGCGCACGGGUGAGUAACGCGUGGGAACCUGCCCCGAGGUGGGGGAUAACCGAUGGAAACGUCGGCUAAUACCGCAUGAGACCUGAGGGUGAAAGAUUUAUCGCCUUGGGAGGGGCCCGCGUCGGAUUAGCUAGUUGGUGGGGUAACGGCCUACCAAGGCGAUGAUCCGUAGCUGGUCUGAGAGGAUGAUCAGCCACACUGGGACUGAGACACGGCCCAGACUCCUACGGGAGGCAGCAGUGGGGAAUAUUGGACAAUGGGGGCAACCCUGAUCCAGCAAUGCCGCGUGAGUGAUGAAGGCCUUAGGGUUGUAAAGCUCUUUCGGCGGGAACGAUGAUGACGGUACCCGCAGAAGAAGC